Desmophyllum pertusum is the source of this 77-nucleotide non-coding RNA. The record is from the annotation of a GenBank genome assembly. Lineage: Eukaryota; Metazoa; Cnidaria; Anthozoa; Scleractinia; Caryophylliidae.
GACGCGGUGGCCAAAAAUAUGGUUAGCGCGUUGGACUCUGGAUCAAGCGGUCCGGGUUCGAGCGCUGGCCGGGGUCA